This 930-nucleotide long non-coding RNA is filed under the name Sinocyclocheilus anshuiensis. Its description in RNAcentral is "lncRNA (ENSSANG00000051177.1)". The record is from RNAcentral. Lineage: Eukaryota; Metazoa; Chordata; Actinopteri; Cypriniformes; Cyprinidae.
CUGUUGUCAUUUUCAUCAUCUGCAUCAUAUUCAACGCACUUGCUGGACCGGGAACUGGUAUGUGCAGAAGAUAAAUAUAAUACUGUUUCCAGUAUGAAUUAGGUGCUAAAUUACAUUUUGGUUAAAUAUAUCGCUACAAUUUUAUUUUUUCCUAUUUGCAGGUCCUUUUCGGAACAACACUGGAGCGAUAUCAGAUAAAUACAAUACAGAAAUCACUCCCUCGGGAUGGACCUUCUCAAUCUGGGGUGUCAUCUACACUUGGCUGUCACUCAUGCAUGUUUACAUCCUCACCACUACCUGCAGGAGGUAAGAACUCAGUGAGCUAGAAUCAAAUGGUAAUCAAAAAAUAAAGUGGCAUGAAAUGUGAUUUUGUAAUAAUAACAUGCUGCAGUUAAUGAGACGAUUAUGUAUAUUGUGCUCACAGGACUGUUUAUGGUCCAAUGUACUGCAGUCCUGCUGUGUUGCCAUAUGGAUUCUUCAUAACCUGGAUUGUAAACAUGCUGCUAAAUAUAAUCUGGCUUCUUCUGUGGGACAGACAGGUGAUGAUUGCUGCAUUCAUUAUCCUUGCCUUGAUUGCCUUCACAAACUAUUUGCUGAUAAUCUUCUCCUGUCAUGGACUCAAACAAUAUGGAGCCUGGUUAAACAAAUAUCACAAAGUAGACCUCUGGUGCAUACGGAUAUUGGUUCAGAAUGGCAUUGCAACAUACACAACAUGGACAACAAUUGCCACUCCCUUGAGUGGAAACAUGACCAAGAACUUUAAAUCUGCAGAUCCAAGCCGCAGCGGCAUUUACAUAGCUGUUUUACUGGGGUUGACUUGUACACUAUUUGCGAUCAAAGUGUUGCUGGUUAUAUGGAGGCACAUUAAACAUCCUCUCUACAAAGGCAUGAAUGUAGAGGAGGCGAUAUCACCAAUGGAAAUUGCUGAAA